This 1824-nucleotide unclassified non-coding RNA is filed under the name Hevea brasiliensis (rubber tree). Lineage: Eukaryota; Viridiplantae; Streptophyta; Magnoliopsida; Malpighiales; Euphorbiaceae. The record is from RNAcentral.
UUUCUUCAAAUCCAUCUUAUCAGAUGAUCCCGAACCGGACCCUCCACUACCCAAAAAGCCCCAUGAUUCUUCACCGGAAAAGGAAAUUGUACCGGAUCAGAAUCUUGAAAAACCUAAUUCACGAUCUGAUUCAAACGCCGCCGACGGCGCUGAUGGUCCUGAUGCUGGUGUUUGGAGUUUCGGAGGUUUGUUGAAGACAUUAUCAACCCGAUCCGAAUCAGUGCUCGAGACAUACCGUCGGGAUCUACAGGAAUUCGGAUCCGGGUUGAAGAAAGAAACCGAAUUGUUCCGUGAAGUAGCUAGUCGAGCUGUUAAGGAUCUUCCUAACUCGAUCGAGGUCGGAACUACCGUCAGCCACGCCAUUGACGGUGUUAUCAAAUCGACAACUGAGAUUAUAUCACAAGGUAAAGAUACUCUUCUCGCUUCCUCUGAUGCUGAAUCCGAAACCCCAGAUGCGAAUCGGACCUUGAAUUCGGGUCGGUACAGUCGGUUUGAAUCUCAAUUGAUGAAUAUCCAGAGUGACCCGAAUACGUUCUGUGUGGAUCCUGAGGAUUUGGAGGAGUACAAGAAGUGGAAAUCUGAGUUUGAUUCGAAGGAAAAUAGUAAGGAAGUUGAGAUUUUGAUUGAAGAAAAUGGAUCUUUGGAAGGUAUAUUCAAAAGGGUUGUGCCUAAUGAAGUUGAUAAUGAGACUUUUUGGUGUCGAUAUUUUUAUAAAGUGUAUAAGCUUAAGCAACAGGAGAGUGUAAGAGCUAAUCUUGUGAAGAGAGCAAUAUCUAUAGAUGAUGAAGAAGAAUUGUCUUGGGAUGUCGAUGAUGAUGACGACAAUAAUGAACAAGAGAACAUUGCCAAAUCGAAAUUCGAUGAGAAGGGAAAAGAGGGUUCUGUUGUUGAAAGCUCUGUCAAUGAUGUAAAGAAAGAAUCUGCCACUCUAGAUUCAACAAACGUUGCAAAGGAAGUGCCUGCUAAUAAGAGUGAGCCAAGCAAGCAGGAUUCGACCAACAUUGCAAAGGAAGUGCCUACUAAUAAAAGUGAACCAAGCAAGCAGGAUUCGACCAACAUUGCAAAGGAAGUGCCUACUAAUAAAAGUGAACCAAGCAAGCAGGAUUCGACCAACGCUGUAAAACAGGACGAAUCACAAACUAUAAGUUCGGCUUCUGUUGAUAGGAAAGAAGAGAGUCAGCCUAAUGUAGAUGGUGGUGGCAAGAGUAAGGUCGUAGAAUCAGUUGGGAGUAACAAAGAUAGUAAGAAAGAAGACGCUGAAGUUACUCCUCUGGUUAAAAAGGAGGAAGAGGUAGUAAAAGGUUCAGAGGGGAAAAGUGAUAAGGAUGGAUCAGGCAAAGAUGGUGAUGUCCCUAUUGCUUCAAGUCAAAAGACGACUGGGGCCGAUGAGGACGACUUGGAUUGGGAUGAGAUUGAGGACGUUGACGGUAUUGAUGACAAAAAGGCAACUUCUCAUGUUGCAAGCACCAAUAGAGAUGAUUUGAGGAAGAGGCUUAGUGUUGAAGAGGACGAUGAGGAUUUGAGUUGGGAUUGAAGAUGAUGACAACCUGUGAAAGCUUUUUGAUCGUCAUUCAAAAUAUGCAGAAAGCUGGAUGUCAAUGCUGUCAACGUACAACAGAACUCAAGAAUUAAACUUUAAAGCUUGAAACCUAGUAAAGUAAGAUAACGUUUAUUGUCUCAGGCAGUUUGUUUAAUUGUGCUUCAUGAUUUUCAUUCUUUUCAUUUUACUUUUAGCUUAGUAGUCGCGAUUUCCAUGUCUAGCUGUUCAUUUAUAAUGUGAACAUGUUUUGUGCCCUUUGUAUACUUGGGAAAUUUGAAUGAAAG